RNAcentral lists this ribosomal RNA (496 nucleotides) under uncultured bacterium. RNAcentral's name for it is "bacterial SSU rRNA". It matches the Rfam family "Bacterial small subunit ribosomal RNA", at positions 30 to 521 of the family's 1533-position model. The record is from RNAcentral.
AUUGAACGCUGGCGGAAUGCUUUACACAUGCAAGUCGAACGGUAGAGGGGGCAACCCCUUGAGAGUGGCGAACGGGUGAGUAAUAUAUCGGAACGUGCCCAGUCGUGGGGAUAACGUAGCGAAAGUUACGCUAAUACCGCAUACGAUCUAAGGAUGAAAGCGGGGGAUCGCAAGACCUCGCGCGAUUGGAGCGGCCGAUAUCAGAUUAGGUAGUUGGUGGGGUAAAGGCUCACCAAGCCAACGAUCUGUAGCUGGUCUGAGAGGACGACCAGCCACACUGGAACUGAGACACGGUCCAGACUCCUACGGGAGGCAGCAGUGGGGAAUUUUGGACAAUGGACGCAAGUCUGAUCCAGCCAUUCCGCGUGCAGGAUGAAGGCCCCUCGGGGUUGUAAACUUGCUUUUGUACGGAACGAAAAGGUUUCUAUUAAUACUAGGAGCUCAUGACGGUACCGUAAGAAUAAGCACCGGCUAACUACGUGCCAGCAGCCGCGGU